CUGCUAAAAAGAAGCAAAAACAAGAACCAUUUAAGAUCUAAUCAAACCAUGGCUAUCGAAAAGAGAACCAUGAUUGCCUCCUUCAUCGUCGUUAUGAUGAUGGUAAUGAUGAUCAUGACCGAAGUCGAGGCCAGGAACCAUGUUUCAGUCAAGCCGCCGCCUCCAAAGAAGAGGUUUAUCUUUUUCUAAAUCGAUGGCUCAUAAAGUUUAUGAGAAAAUAAAUGGUUCUUACAAUGAGGAGCUUCAAGCAUGGUUAAACUAAAUUAUUAUAUUAUCAUUUUUCAUCCGCCUACAUAUAUGUUUAGUUGUGGAUGGUUUACUUAUACAAAAGAAUAUUUUAUAUGUGAAUGAAAUGUAUACUAGUUUCAUAUUGCAUACAUGAGAUUUUUAUUCAUGAAUCUCUCUAAAUAUUAACAAAAAUGUUCACUUAUUUAUUCUUUUAUAGAUAUCCUUAGUUAAUAUUACUAAAUUUGUGUUAUCAUGUGAGAUUUAGUUACGGAAUUGUGGUUCAUUUCAUUGUAAUUUCGGUGAUGUAUAACAACAACGCGAGGUAGAAGGCUGAAAAUUACGGGAAAUGGCCUAUUAUGAUCUUUUUUUUUUUUUCGUAAAAAGGCUUUCAUAUUAAACUAGCAAGAAAGAAAUAAAAAACAUACAGACCUAGGCCAGAGUAUUAUGGGCUGAACCCAGAGUUAUAAUAUAGAGAGACACAUAUCAUUGGAACCCAAAAAGCCCAUAGUGAUUUGCGAGAACAGAGAGGCAGAUUAGUCGGAUGUCUGUAGUGGAGAAUUCAUGAUCACCUUGUCCUGAUUAGGAUCGGAGGAACCAAAGUUGCAUCAUCGCAGAAGAGGCACGAGGAUUCUUACAACGGAAGCUCAAUAGACGGUGCCUUAUCUGUUUAUCAAUUGUGGAGAUGAUAGUGUCGGACGAUUUGAAAGUUUGGUGAUGAAGCCUUGAGUUACGCUCUCGCCAGAUCCAGUAGAUGGUGGCUUGCGCCGCAAGAAGAGUUAGGCGGUUGAGAUCCCUGUUUGUCCCCAGUGAUUGCAGUUGCUGUAGCGUCCCGUCCCAAGUGAGAAGUGGUUGUAGUUGACAUCUCUCAGCUAUCACUCGCCAUACCCUAGCAGUGGCAUCGAUCAAGCAACACCAGCCAGGUUAGGAAGCUUUGACGGGGGAUACCAUAAGAGGACCAGACCACCUUCGACCAUGGUACUAACGGUUGUGGCCCCUUCAGUUGUUAGGUGAAUCUGCAGCGCGAGUUGAUCCUCUGUACGAGCUGGAGGGAGUAACCACCGGUCGUUACAGUGUAGGGAAGCUACUGUCGCCGAAUGAGGGAUGCCUAGCCUUGAGGAUCUUGUGUUUAAGAAAUUGCUGAGGUUCCCAAAUGGUGACCAAUUAUCAACCCAAAAAGCUGUUGUUGCUCCAUUACCUAAACGUCUCCUGAGAAGAGGGUCUAAAGAAGAGUAACCAGAUGAGCUUUAGGAUGCAAGCAACAUUCCAGCUGUGAAGAUCCUUUACUCCUAGUCCUCCUUGUUCCUUGGCUUUCGGGAGUAUGAAAGUGGAGCACCAGAACGUUGAGACUCCGGCUAUGACAGUCUUUAUGAGAAGAAGACGUCCUGCAAAAGAUAAGGCCUUUGCUGACCAGGAUGAAAACCGCUUUUUGAUCUGCUGCAAAAGGGGCUCACAGUUCUGCAGGUUGACCUUUUUCGUACACAAUGGCACACCCAGAUACCUCAUUGGAAGUGCUCCACAGGGCAUUCCCGUAGACGCUUGUAUUGCAGAGAUUUCUGGUGCAGAGAGACCAGAAGCAAAGAAAGACGACUUUUGUAGGCUCACUGCUAGGCCGGAGCGUUUCUCGAACUCAUGCAGGAUUUGAAGGACUUUUUGCACUGAUUCAAUGGAUCCGUCUAUGAAGAUCAGCAGGUCAUCCGCGAACGAGAGAUGAGUUAACCUUGUCUUCCUGCACUGAUGAUGGUAAGAAAGGCUUCCUGCUCUUGCUUCCCUGUCUAACAACAUUGAUAAGUAGUUCAUAGCGAUGACAAAAAGGUAGGGUGAUAGAGGAUCUCCCUGCCGCAAGCCUCUUUUUCCUUUGAAGUAGCCAUUUACGGUACCAUUAUAACCAACCAUAUAAAAAUAAUCUUAACAAAUUUUAUGAUCUUAACAAAUUUUAUCGUGCCUUAUACGAUCCAAACAAAAAUAAUCUUGUUAAAUACGAUUUCAAUCUGAUUAUAGUUCAAAUAAUCUAUCUAAUUUUUUAAAAUAUACCUACAUUUACAUUAAUAACGGAAAAUAAUCAACCGUUAAUUCGACUGGCUACAUCUGACAUGGAGAUCUUGUACCGCUAUUAGUUAAAACUAUGUUGCUUUAAUUUUUUUAAAAGCUAAAUUUUGCACUGACGGGCUUGGAGAAUUUAAAAGAUCAUUAAGGCUUUGCGUAUGGGAAUGCUUCUUGCAUAAUCAAGUUAGUGUUGUUUAGGCAUCAUUACAGAUGAAUAGAACAAUCAUAUGUUUGAUGUAUUGCAAAAGGGUCCAUGUCGUACCUAAAGAUUAUCUUCCAUCAAGUAGACAUGUUUCUGAUUUGUGACCUUCACAUUUAUUUAAUUAUGAACGCAUAUGCUACCAAACAUUCUUGUUUUCCUUUGAUAUAUUGUAUUUUUUUUUGGGUGCAAAUGUUAAGUGAUAUAUUGUAUAUUGUCUUAUCAUUUGCAUUCUUGCAAUUUUUACAAAGUAAUCCCCUUCUAACUUAUUUCAAAAACAAGGUAACAAAAGGGUAGAAAAACCAUUACAGAUUAACAGUUCAAGUUUUAUAUACGAGAAGUUGUAGGUUGAAAGAUUUACAGGUCAGAAAAAGUCAUGGCAAUUGUAUCUGCUGUUGUUAGGUUAAUCUAACUAGGAUCCACUUUUGACUUGUUCAUUUCCAUCGAAUCUACUUUCAACACAAUUUUGAUUCACAUGAUCUGCAUUGUUACCCUUAGCUACUCCAAAACCACAAUUCUGUACAUAUCUUAUAUAAGAUGUACAGUGAUCAGGUGAAUCUGAUCUUGCUUUCUGAUCCAUCUCUGAGCAUUUCAAAUGGGGAAGAAAGGCCAUUUUUCCGUUGUAACAUCAAAAUGGUAAAACUAUUAUUACAUAUUCAUCACGUUUACGAUUGUUACGUGCUGUGUGUUCAUGAGAAUUAGGUCCGAGCAAGAGGUGUGGAUUAAACGACGAAGCAUGUGAGAGUUGAAACUUAUACAUUACUGACGGUUACUAUGGUCUACUGGUGGUUGGUCCUGAAGGAAGAGUCGCUAAGCCUUUAGCUACUCAUGUAGAAGGAAAGCCUAUACCCUUUGCCAACGAUCUUGACAUCCAUACAAAUGGCUCCAUCUUCUUCACCGACACGAGCAAAAGACAUGACAGAGCAUAGUCAAAAAGCCUCAUGCUUACCGUUAGUAUGAUAUACGAGUUAGACUUUGAACCAAUUGCAGAUGAAUCUGCUUGGGAGUAACUAAUGAUUAAUGACCCUUGGGAGUGAAGUGAGGGAGGUUGAAGGGAAGCUUUGGAUUGGAAAAUUGGCUCAUAAUCGUAUUGCAACUUUGUCUUAUCGUUUAACAAUCAACUAGUGAACAAUAUAAAAGUGUAGUUCGUAUCUCUUUGUAACUUACUAUCUCUGUUUUGAUUUUGAGUACAUCGGGCUGCUGUGUUUAUCUUUUGUUGAUGUGUGCAUAAGAUUAAUAUUGAAUUUUUCUUUUGUUGCAAUCA
Brassica oleracea var. oleracea is the source of this 3734-nucleotide long non-coding RNA. RefSeq lists it as uncharacterized. The transcript is spliced from 6 exons. The record is from RefSeq and is a predicted model, not a curated record. NCBI's taxonomy places the organism in Eukaryota, Viridiplantae, Streptophyta, Magnoliopsida, Brassicales, Brassicaceae.